CUUCCUGGCUCCUGGGAGGCGUAGCGCAGGAGGGAUGCGAGUGUAGAUUGUGGUUGCACGUAGAGCAGACAGACAUCAGAGGGAUUUGGGUGGGGGUGCUAAGGAUGGCUCGGGGAAAGAAAGAAGGGGUCUUUGGGAGAAAGAGGCACGCUGUGGGGAGUUGUGGGGAGCUAAGUGGGUUAUGGAGGGAGAAGACAAGAGAGGGGAGGGUGGAGAGAAAAAGUUUUGUGGGAUGAGACUGCUGAUUUUGAAAGUUGUACCAGUGAGGUGUCAGGGUGACGAGCCACGGCUGUUAAUCUGCCCGGCGGAGGAGGAAAGAGAAAGAGCUUUCUAAAAGGGCACCCCAUGAGAUGCUGGCUAAGAGGCGGGGGUGCCCUGGCAAAGCAAAGGGUUUGUGGACCUCCCUGGGGGUGUGAGACUGGGAAAGCCCCAGGAGGUGCUGCUGAGCACAGAUGUUGUGGAAAAGAACUUAGCUCCUGGAGGCUCAGGGUGGUAUGUAAUUGUGUCGGCGAGAACGGGCGUUCCAAGCCAGGGAGGGCUGUAGUGGAUGCUGGAGGGGCCCGCAGCAGCCUGGGGCCCCGGGUGGUCCAGGGACAGCUCCUGGAAGUAGCGUUGAAAGAGCAAUUACUCUAUUGAGUCGCUAGGUGGCGCUGCAGGGAUUGACGUGCUUGUCAAUUACUGGGAUGGGGGAGGGGGGCAAUUGACACGUUUUGUCUUACAGAUGGCAGGAUUCUCCGUGGGGAACCUUUCUUUCCUAUAGGUUGGAAGCUAACUUCUUUAGGUGUGACGUACCCAGUCUGCUCCCUCUACCUCUGCUUCUCCUUCCUUUAUUUCACGAGGUUUUCAGUCGAUAAGUUCAGUUUUUAAAUUCGUACUGGUUCUGGUGAGGCGUAAGUAAAUAAGGGGAAUAUCCCGAAUGUGUCCUUUUGUGAUGCCC
This is a non-coding RNA of Phascolarctos cinereus (koala), 937 nucleotides long. NCBI's taxonomy places the organism in Eukaryota, Metazoa, Chordata, Mammalia, Diprotodontia, Phascolarctidae. The record is from RefSeq and is a predicted model, not a curated record.